This 495-nucleotide ribosomal RNA is filed under the name uncultured bacterium. Its description in RNAcentral is "partial 16S ribosomal RNA". It matches the Rfam family "Bacterial small subunit ribosomal RNA", at positions 28 to 507 of the family's 1533-position model. The record is from RNAcentral.
GACGAACGCUGGCGGCGUGCCUAAUACAUGCAAGUAGAACGCUGAAGGAGGAGCUUGCUUCUCCGGAUGAGUUGCGAACGGGUGAGUAACGCGUAGGUAACCUGCCUGGUAGCGGGGGAUAACUAUUGGAAACGAUAGCUAAUACCGCAUAAGAGUAGAUGUCGCAUGACAUUUGCUUAAAAGGUGCAACUGCACCACUACCAGAUGGACCUGCGUUGUAUUAGCUAGUUGGUGAGGUAACGGCUCACCAAGGCAACGAUACAUAGCCGACCUGAGAGGGUGAUCGGCCACACUGGGACUGAGACACGGCCCAGACUCCUACGGGAGGCAGCAGUAGGGAAUCUUCGGCAAUGGACGGAAGUCUGACCGAGCAACGCCGCGUGAGUGAAGAAGGUUUUCGGAUCGUAAAGCUCUGUUGUAAGAGAAGAACGAGUGUGAGAGUGGAAAGUUCACACUGCGACGGUAUCUUACCAGAAAGGGACGGCUAACUACGUG